AUGAUCUGAAGUCAGGUGGGAUUACCCGCUGAACUUAA
RNAcentral lists this ribosomal RNA (38 nucleotides) under Rhizopus arrhizus. RNAcentral describes it as "Rhizopus oryzae partial 28S ribosomal RNA". The record is from RNAcentral. Lineage: Eukaryota; Fungi; Mucoromycota; Mucoromycetes; Mucorales; Rhizopodaceae.